RNAcentral lists this transfer RNA (87 nucleotides) under Mailhella sp. RNAcentral describes it as "tRNA-Leu". It matches the Rfam family "tRNA". From Rfam's summary of the family: Transfer RNA (tRNA) molecules are approximately 80 nucleotides in length. The record is from RNAcentral. Lineage: Bacteria; Pseudomonadati; Thermodesulfobacteriota; Desulfovibrionia; Desulfovibrionales; Desulfovibrionaceae.
GCCCGGAUGGCGGAAUUGGCAGACGCAAGGGACUUAAAAUCCCUGGCCUUAACCGGUGUGCGGGUUCAAGCCCCGCUCUGGGCACCA